CCUACGGGGUGCAGCAGUGGGGAAUAUUGGGCAAUGGGCGCAAGCCUGACCCAGCAACGCCGCGUGAAGGAAGAAGGCUUUCGGGUUGUAAACUUCUUUUAUCAGGGACGAAGCAAGCGACGGUACCUGAUGAAUAAGCCACGACUAACUACGUGCCAGCAGCCGCGGUAAUACGUAGGUGGCAAGCGUUAUCCGGAUUUACUGGGUGUAAAGGGCGUGUAGGCGGGAAAGCAAGUCAGAUGUGAAAACAAUGGGCUCAACCUGUGGCCUGCAUUUGAAACUGUUUUUCUUGAGUGCAGGAGAGGCAGGCGGAAUUCCUAGGGUAGCGGUGAAAUGCGUAGAUAGUAGGAGGAACACCAGUGGCGAAGGCGGUCUGCUGGGCAGCAACUGACGCUGAGGCGCGAAAGCGUGGGGAGCAAACAGGAUUAGAUACCCCUGUAGUC
RNAcentral lists this ribosomal RNA (443 nucleotides) under uncultured bacterium. RNAcentral's name for it is "partial 16S ribosomal RNA". It matches the Rfam family "Bacterial small subunit ribosomal RNA", at positions 338 to 795 of the family's 1533-position model. The record is from RNAcentral.